RNAcentral lists this ribosomal RNA (439 nucleotides) under uncultured bacterium. RNAcentral describes it as "partial 16S ribosomal RNA". It matches the Rfam family "Bacterial small subunit ribosomal RNA", at positions 339 to 795 of the family's 1533-position model. The record is from RNAcentral.
CUACGGGGUGCUGCAGUGAGGAAUAUUGCACAAUGGAGGAAACUCUGAUGCAGCAACGCCGCGUGGAGGAUGACGCAUUUCGGUGUGUAAACUCCUUUUAUAUGUCAAGAAAAUGACGGUAGCAUAUGAAUAAGCUCCGGCUAACUCCGUGCCAGCAGCCGCGGUAAUACGGAGGGAGCAAGCGUUACUCGGAAUCGCUGGGCGUAAAGGACGCGUAGGCGGGAUAGAAAGUCAGGUGUGAAAUCCUAUGGCUCAACCAUAGAACUGCACUUGAAACUUCUAACCUAGAGUAUGGGAGGGGAAGAUGGAAUUAGUGGUGUAGGGGUAAAAUCCGUAGAUACCACUAGGAAUACCAAAAGCGAAGGCGAUCUUCUGGAACAAUACUGACGCUAAGGCGUGAAAGCGUGGGGAGCAAACAGGAUUAGAUACCCUAGUAGUC